UACGGGGGGGGCAAGCGUUGUCCGGAUUUAUUGGGCGUAAAGAGCGUGUAGGCGGCCUGACAGGUCUGCUGUGAAAACUCGAGGCUCAACCUCGAGAUGUCGGCGGAAACCGUCUGGCUAGAGUCCGGAAGAGGAGAGUGGAAUUCCUGGUGUAGCGGUGAAAUUCGUAGAUAUUGGGAGGAACACCAGUGGCGAAGGCGGCUCACUGGACCGGAACUGACGCUGAGGCGCGAAAGCGUGGGGAGCAAACGGG
This 253-nucleotide ribosomal RNA is filed under the name uncultured bacterium. RNAcentral's name for it is "partial 16S ribosomal RNA". It matches the Rfam family "Bacterial small subunit ribosomal RNA", at positions 524 to 776 of the family's 1533-position model. The record is from RNAcentral.